GUUCGAGAUAACCUGUAUCAAGGCAGACUGUAUGGAAUGGCUGAUGGGUCUUUAAAAUUUACUAAACUAACAAGUGAAAUCCAAGGAAAUUACAGAGCAAAUAUAUGCACAAACGCAGGAAACAAGCAUUGUAAACAACAAUAUAAUCUUCAAAUGUUCAGUAAGUAUUAGUAACUCAGCAUUUAGAGCUUACAUGAAAAAUCAGUGGUGACAAACCAUGAAUAUAUGCACAAAGUCUGUCCGAAAAGUAUCGAGCCAUGUAAUAUAAAAAUAAGAUAAGAUGAUAGAUACAAG
This is a non-coding RNA of Pelobates cultripes (western spadefoot toad), 294 nucleotides long. NCBI's taxonomy places the organism in Eukaryota, Metazoa, Chordata, Amphibia, Anura, Pelobatidae. The record is from the annotation of a GenBank genome assembly.